UACGUAGGGGGCAAGCGUUGUCCGGAAUUAUUGGGCGUAAAGAGCGUGUAGGCGGCCAGAUAAGUCCGCUGUGAAAUCUCGAGGCUCAACUUCGAGCUGUCGGUGGAAACUAUCUGGCUAGAGUCCGGAAGAGGAGAAUGGAAUUCCCAGUGUAGCGGUGAAAUGCGCAGAUAUUGGGAAGAACACCAGUGGCGAAGGCGGUUCUCUGGGACGGUACUGACGCUGAGACGCGAAAGCGUGGGGAGCGAACAGG
Molecule: ribosomal RNA, 253 nt
Filed under: uncultured bacterium
Lineage: Bacteria
Description: partial 16S ribosomal RNA
Rfam family: Bacterial small subunit ribosomal RNA
Source: RNAcentral